GAGUUUGAUCGUGGCUCAGGAUGAACGCUGGCGGCGUGCCUAAUACAUGCAAGUCGAACGAAUCUUCUUCGGAAGAUGAGUGGCGAACGGGUGAGUAAUACAUAGGUAACCUGCCCCUGUGCGGGGGAUAACAGGAGGAAACUCCUGCUAAUACCGCAUAGCCAUGAGCACCGCAUGGAGCUCAUGCCAAAUAUCCUUUAUGGGAUAGCGCAGGGAUGGACCUAUGGCGCAUUAGCUUGUUGGCGGGGCAACGGCCCACCAAGGCAACGAUGCGUAGCCGGCCUGAGAGGGCGGACGGCCACAUUGGGACUGAGACACGGCCCAGACUCCUACGGGAGGCAGCAGUAGGGAAUUUUCGGCAAUGGGGGAAACCCUGACCGAGCAACGCCGCGUGAGCGAAGAAGGCCUUCGGGUCGU
This 417-nucleotide ribosomal RNA is filed under the name uncultured bacterium. Its description in RNAcentral is "bacterial SSU rRNA". It matches the Rfam family "Bacterial small subunit ribosomal RNA", at positions 9 to 426 of the family's 1533-position model. The record is from RNAcentral.